AACCUAGCAUUUACACACAUUCUUUUUCUGUUUUCAUUUCCUCUAAGUAAGCUUCAUUUUGUGUUCUCCUGUUAGCCUGAUCUUCAUUGUCUCCUCUAUUAAGCACUAAAACAAAGUGUCCAUAUAGUUUCUGAUUUCUCCCUCCUACCAUCAGAACUGACCUGGGAGAAAUUACCUCUAAUCUAGUAGAACUGGCCAUCUAAAUCAGAUGUUUUCUAAAUUGGUUGUUACAAUUCGCUUCCAAGGAGAUUAUGCUUUCUCUGCUGGUUCAUUCAUGUAGUCUCCCUUCCUCUUCCUACUUACUAAGAGUAGCUGUGAAGCUUUGAUCUCCACUCCUCCAGCUUUUAACCUUGCUCCAGUAUUCCACCUCCUCCUUGAUGUUACAGGAGUAAGUGGCAUCCAGCUUGAAAUACUAACAUGCUCGUACAUCAUCUGGCUGUUGCUUCAGAUCCUCCUGAGCAUCUUGCCCAGAAGUGACCUCCAGAAUGCCUAUGUGCUAGUACAGAUUAAAUGUUCAGACAAAACGUGUGAGCAACAGAGGAGACUGUGCUGUAUGAAGCUGUUCUCCAAGGACAUUCUUCCACUUGUCCCUUCCACAAGAUCUGAAGAAACAUCUGGACAAGGAUUCAUCACGUGACUUUAAAUAUGCUGAUAUUUGACUUCAGUGACAUGUUCUGAUGUCCCUUCAAAAUGAAGCACCUACCAAAUGAGGAUUUAAUUUAGAUUUAUGAGUGUGUUUAUCGUCUAUUAAUGAAGUACUACAUAAUAACUCAAACCACAUUUAUUGAGGCUGUUGUGAUUAUGUAACGGGGUAUUAUGUUUCUAAUAAUUAGCUGGCACCAUUCAAUUACAUAUGAAUUAAAGCAGUUGCUGAGUUUACUGAGGAGCCAGGAGUUGUUCUUAGCAUGAUUUUGGUGUUGGCAACUUCGUGCUCAGGAGGUGAGGUUUUAUGCUAGGUGACAGCUGCCCAUACUUUUGCCUUAUGUCUUCAUACUUGGCAUGUAAAGGUCAUCCUGAAAAUGGGAGACCAAGAAAUCUGGAUAUCAGGGAUUCAGGAAUAGGGAGGUGGGGACAC
This 1075-nucleotide long non-coding RNA is filed under the name Gallus gallus (chicken). RNAcentral's name for it is "lncRNA (ENSGALG00010021991.1)". Lineage: Eukaryota; Metazoa; Chordata; Aves; Galliformes; Phasianidae. The record is from RNAcentral.